AUCAAUAUCUAAGUCUACUAGUGCCUUUUCUUUUCCACCAUUUUCACCCCAAAUUUAUUCAUAAAAACUUGAUGCAAAUUCUUUUCUCAAACAUCCAUAAGUCCCUUGAGAUUACAACUUUUCAUAAGUUUUUUUUUCUUAUAAAAUGGUAAAACAUAACUCCCUCAUAUGUUUUAGCCAUCAGAUGAUGACUGGUUCUAAUUUGUAGAGUUCUUCAGCACCCAUUCCACCAAAGUUGAAACACCAAAACCCGUGGCGUUUUUCUUUUUAUCACUCCAGACAGGACCAGCUAAGUCGAUAUGCAUCCAUUGGACCUUCUCGUUAACAAACUGCUUCAGGAAGAGAGCAGCGGUUAUCGCACCACCUGGACGACCUCCCGUGUUCACCAUAUCAGCCACUCCUGAUUUCAUAGAGUCCCAGUAGCUAUCCUCCAUCGGCAACCUCCAUAGUUUUUCACCGCUUACCUCAGAAGCUGCAACCACCUCCUUAGCUAGGUCAUCGCUAGGUGUAAAAAUACCAGCAAUUGAAGGCCCAAGAGCAACCACACAAGCACCAGUUAAUGUUGCCAAAUCAACUAUCUUUUCUACACCUUGGUUACAGGCAUAUACCAACGCAUCAGCAAGUGUGAGUCUACCCUCAGCAUCCGUGUUGUUAACCUCAAUUGUCUUCCCAUUUGAAGCAGUGAUAAUGUCUCCAGGCCUCAUGCCUGUCCCACUGAUCAUAUUCUCACAAGCUGCAACAAUGAAAUGCACCUCUACUCCAGCGGGUUUUAUCUGACCAAGAGCUUUUGCUGCACCCAAAACAGCUGCAGCCCCUCCCAUGUCAAACUUCAUUAGCUCAAUAGAACAACCAGGUCCAGUCUUGAUGUUGUAGCCACCACUG
This 882-nucleotide unclassified non-coding RNA is filed under the name Hevea brasiliensis (rubber tree). The record is from RNAcentral. Lineage: Eukaryota; Viridiplantae; Streptophyta; Magnoliopsida; Malpighiales; Euphorbiaceae.